RNAcentral lists this ribosomal RNA (537 nucleotides) under Lasiodiplodia sp. MFLUCC 14-1190. Its description in RNAcentral is "eukaryotic LSU rRNA". The stretch from base 195 to 348 matches the Rfam family "5.8S ribosomal RNA". Lineage: Eukaryota; Fungi; Ascomycota; Dothideomycetes; Botryosphaeriales; Botryosphaeriaceae. The record is from RNAcentral.
UGGAAGUUAAAAAAUCGUAACAAGGUUUCCGUAGGUGAACCUGCGGAAGGAUCAUUACCGAGUUUUCGGGCUUCGGCUCGACUCUCCCACCCUUUGUGAACGUACCUCUGUUGCUUUGGCGGCUCCGGCCGCCAAAGGACCUCCAAACUCCAGUCAGUAAACGCAGACGUCUGAUAAACAAGUUAAUAAACUAAAACUUUCAACAACGGAUCUCUUGGUUCUGGCAUCGAUGAAGAACGCAGCGAAAUGCGAUAAGUAAUGUGAAUUGCAGAAUUCAGUGAAUCAUCGAAUCUUUGAACGCACAUUGCGCCCCUUGGUAUUCCGGGGGGCAUGCCUGUUCGAGCGUCAUUACAACCCUCAAGCUCUGCUUGGAAUUGGGCACCGUCCUCACUGCGGACGCGCCUCAAAGACCUCGGCGGUGGCUGUUCAGCCCUCAAGCGUAGUAGAAUACACCUCGCUUUGGAGUGGUUGGCGUCGCCCGCCGGACGAACCUUCUGAACUUUUCUCAAGGUUGACCUCGGAUCAGGUCGGGAAACA